Molecule: long non-coding RNA, 450 nt
Organism: Xiphophorus hellerii (green swordtail)
Lineage: Eukaryota; Metazoa; Chordata; Actinopteri; Cyprinodontiformes; Poeciliidae
Exons: 2
Source: RefSeq, a predicted model, not a curated record
CUGAAGGCAGGGGCGCAACUCCAUAUUUUUGAGGUGGAUGCAAACAUAUCUUCGGCGCCCCCCCAUAUAUCGAAUGAUGACUGAGGCCUGCUCUUGCUUUGAAAUAUCAGGUGUGCAGUCCAGUUCCACUGCAAAGUACUUAGAGGACUUGAUCUUGGCAGAUAUUUUACUCAAAACACACUCUGAUAUUGAAUCUAAAAAUUCAUUCUGAGUGCACCAUGUCAGAUAUCCAGUGGUUUUUCACUAUCAAUAGUCUUACCUAGGCGUAAGCGAGAUGCCAUUUCUUUCCACGUCAGAUAAGCAUUUAUGUGAGAACUACUGGUUUCAUGGUGCUUCAGUGUUUUUGAAAGACAUCGCCAGUUAUUAUACCCCUCCACAAGGCAUGUGUCAAGAACUUUAGCUUCACCAAAAAGCUUACAUGCAAAACAAUAGACUCUGUUAGUAUUUUUA